GUCAGGAUGGCCGAGUGGUCUAAGGCGCCAGACUCAAGGUUCGCACCUUGCCUGCGGGUGUUCUGGUCUCCGCAUGGAGGCGUGGGUUCGAAUCCCACUUCUGACA
This 106-nucleotide transfer RNA is filed under the name Fukomys damarensis (Damara mole-rat). It matches the Rfam family "tRNA". From Rfam's summary of the family: Transfer RNA (tRNA) molecules are approximately 80 nucleotides in length. Their secondary structure includes four short double-helical elements and three loops (D, anti-codon, and T loops). The record is from Rfam by way of RNAcentral. Lineage: Eukaryota; Metazoa; Chordata; Mammalia; Rodentia; Bathyergidae.